Molecule: ribosomal RNA, 409 nt
Filed under: Verrucomicrobiota bacterium
Lineage: Bacteria; Pseudomonadati; Verrucomicrobiota
Description: Verrucomicrobia bacterium partial 16S ribosomal RNA
Rfam family: Bacterial small subunit ribosomal RNA
Source: RNAcentral
UGGGGAAUAUUGCACAAUGGGCGGAAGCCUGAUGCAGCGACGCCGCGUGAGGGAUGACGGCCUUCGGGUUGUAAACCUCUUUCAGUAGGGACGAAGCGUAAGUGACGGUACCUAACCAGAAAGCCACGGCUAACUACGUGCCAGCAGCCGCGGUAAUACGUAGGUGGCAAGCGUUGUCCGGAAUUAUUGGGCGUAAAGCGCGCGCAGGUGGUUUAGAAAGUCUGAUGUGAAAGCCCACGGCUCAACCGUGGAGGGUCAUUGGAAACUAAUAAACUUGAGUGCAGGAGAGAAAAGUGGAAUUCCUAGUGUAGCGGUGAAAUGCGUAGAGAUUAGGAGGAACACCGGUGGCGAAAGCGGCUUUUUGGCCUGCAACUGACACUGAGGCGCGAAAGCGUGGGGAGCAAACAGG